This 400-nucleotide ribosomal RNA is filed under the name uncultured bacterium. Its description in RNAcentral is "bacterial SSU rRNA". It matches the Rfam family "Bacterial small subunit ribosomal RNA", at positions 355 to 773 of the family's 1533-position model. The record is from RNAcentral.
UGGGGAAUAUUGGACAAUGGGGGAAACCCUGAUCCAGCAAUGCCGCGUGAGUGAAGAAGGCCUUAGGGUUGUAAAGCUCUUUCGCCCGCGAAGAUAAUGACGGUAGCGGGAGAAGAAGCCCCGGCUAACUCCGUGCCAGCAGCCGCGGUAAUACGGAGGGGGCUAGCGUUGUUCGGAAUUACUGGGCGUAAAGCGUACGUAGGCGGAUGCGCAAGUUGGGGGUGAAAUCCCGGGGCUUAACCUCGGAAGUGCCCUAAAAACUGCAAGUCUUGAGACCGAGAGAGGGAAGGGGAAUUCCUAGUGUAGAGGUGAAAUUCGUAGAUAUUAGGAAGAACACCAGUGGCGAAGGCGCCUUACUGGCUCGGUACGGAAGCUGAGGUACGAAAGCGUGGGAGCAAAC